This 65-nucleotide transfer RNA is filed under the name Pimelocerus perforatus. RNAcentral's name for it is "tRNA-Asp". It matches the Rfam family "tRNA". From Rfam's summary of the family: Transfer RNA (tRNA) molecules are approximately 80 nucleotides in length. Their secondary structure includes four short double-helical elements and three loops (D, anti-codon, and T loops). The record is from RNAcentral. Lineage: Eukaryota; Metazoa; Arthropoda; Insecta; Coleoptera; Curculionidae.
AAAAAUUUAGUUAAAACUAUAACGUUAGCUUGUCAAGCUAGAAUUAUUUAAAAUAAUAAUUUUUA